AAAUGUGGCAAAGCUUUUAAGUGGUCCUCAUACCUUAGUAGACAUAAGGUCAUUCAUAUUGGAAUUCAUACUGAGGAGAAAUUCUACAAAUGUGAAGAAUGUGGCAAAGGGCUUUACUGGUCCUCUUCCCUUACUAAAGAAUGUGGAAAAGCUUUUAAACGGUACUUAAACCUUACUACACAUAAGAUAAUUCCUGCUGGAGAGAAACCCUACAAAUGUGAAGAAUGUGGCAAAGGUUUCUAUUGAUUCUCAUACUUACUAAACUUAAGAAAAUUCACACUGGAGAGAAAUUCUACAAAUGUGAAGAAUGUGGCAAAGGCUUUAAUUGGUCCUCGACCCUUACUAAACAUAAAAGAAUUCAUACCAUACAGAAAUCCUACAAAUGUGUAAAAUGUGACAAAGCUUUUAACCACUUUUCAAUCUUGCCUACAUAUAAGAUAAUUCAUGCUGGAAAUCCUACAAAUAUGAAGAAUGUCUCAAAGCUUUUUACUGAUUCUCAUACCUUACUAAACAUAAAAUAAUUCAUAAGGGAGAGAAAUUAUACAAAUAUGAAAAAUCUUGCAAAGCUUUUAACAAAUCUUCAUCCAUUACUAAACAUAAGAUAAUUCAUACUGGAGAGAAAACCUACAAAUGUGAGGAAUGUGGCAAAGCCUUUAACCUGUCCCCCCAACUUACUGCACAUAAGAUAACUUAUACUGGAGAGAAGCCCUACAAAUGUGAAAAAUGUGGCAAACAUUUUAACCAAUCAUCAACCCUUACUACACAUAUGUUAAUUCAUGCUGGAGAGAAACCCUACAAAUAUGAAGAAUGUGGCAAAGCUUUUAACCAAUCCUCAAAACUUACUAAGCAUAACUCAUACUGGAGAAAAAUCUUACAAAUGUGAAGAAUGUGGUAAAGCCUUUAUCCAGUCCUCAACUCCUACUAAACAUAACAUAAGCUGCUUACAACUGUGAAGAAUGUGGCAAAGCUUUUAACCAGUCCUAAAACUUUAUUGAACAAAAUAAUUCAUUCAGGAGAGAAACCCUACAAAUGUGAAGAAUGUGACAAAGCCUUUAACCAGUCCUCAAUUCUUAAUAAACAUAAGAAAAUUCAUAUUGGAGAG
Molecule: long non-coding RNA, 1102 nt
Filed under: Homo sapiens (human)
Lineage: Eukaryota; Metazoa; Chordata; Mammalia; Primates; Hominidae
Description: non-protein coding lnc-ZNF708-10:1
Source: RNAcentral